Molecule: long non-coding RNA, 2032 nt
Filed under: Mus musculus (house mouse)
Lineage: Eukaryota; Metazoa; Chordata; Mammalia; Rodentia; Muridae
Description: long non-coding RNA chr3:84304845-84306877
Source: RNAcentral
UGUGCUACAGUCUCCCAGCCUUGGCCACAGUAAAGAUUGCACGGGGGACACAUGACACCAUGGUUCAAAUGCCAAAGAAUCGUCAAAAAACCUCGCUUCUUUCCUAUUCACUUGGAACAUAUAUCUGAUGGGUUCCCGGCAGCAUUUCUUUCGGAAAACAAGACUAAUGAACCAAACCAACGACAAGUACUGUGCAGAAGAGCUAACCUGCAUCUCAAAUAGAAAGGACCUUAUGCGUCCUCCUCCAGCCCAGUUCCGACUUGACUCCUGGGCCUUGGUGGGAUGUCCUGAGCACCGCGCGAUGCGCAACAAACCUAUGCUACUGUGCCUCAGGUUUUAGUGGCGCACGUCAACUCCCUGGUCUGUUCCUAGGACUCUGUUCCACAGGACCUUACUGUAUGAGGACGCUCCGCUGCGGUUCAUCCACUGGGACCAUUUCCCAAUCGCAAGUGGCUCCUGGAGACAAGCUGGAUACACACACCACGCUGGGAGGAAUCCUCGGUUUUCAAAGUGCACCACGAAAGCGGAAUAUUCCACCGAAAGUUACGAUCCGCAAGUACAAGGCCUGCCUGAGCACUCCUCAGCCCAGCGGCCACGCCUCUCAGUUCCCCAAGGGUCCUCACCCUAGCUAGCCCCGCCCUAAGGGCGCUUUUCUGGGCAUGCACCUGCUUCCACGCUGCAGAGUGGUUGCCUUGGAAACCCUGGAGAGCUGGUGCUCUCUGCAGACACGCUGUUGCCCUGACAACUGUGACCCAGCUCUUGGGCGUGCCAGGAAGAAUGCAAAUGGAUGCUACAUUAAAUGCGGAUUCAGGGCUAUAGGAGGGACUGGUUGGUAGGGUUGGGAUGCGAAAACAGCUGUAUUAGGGUAUGCAAGCUGAGCCUCAAGAUGGGGUCGGUGUGUAUCGCCGACUAGAAACAUUGUGUUCUUCACCAAGCCCAGUUACAUUUGGCUGUAAGACAAAUUCCGGAGUUGUUCUAGCGUCCCUCUUUCACUCUGCUUAAGAUGUUUAAAUGGGAUUUCCCAGCAGGAACUGGUUCCAGGUAGGAAUAAGAAAAAGCCCUUCAGUAUGUUGAAAACAGUGAAGGCCUACUGGGGAUAAUAGUUAACCAUGGGUGACGUCAUAUGCAGACCUCCGAGACUCUGGUUGUGACGAGCACGUGGCUAACACAAUUUCACUCACUGUUUGAGAAAGGUAGGGCCGGGAAAAGCAAACUGUACUUAUUAAAAACCCAAAUGUGCACGUGUCGUCUUGAGAGCUGAGUUAGGGGCUUAAACCCAUCAAGCCACAGAUAGGUGCUUCUGUUAAGGAACUAGGACAUCAUGGAGAGGGCUCAGCUGAAAACCAAGGUUCUGGGCAAGGGCUACGGAGACUGAAGGCUAGGGUGGCCUGUCGGGAAGUGGGAGCGUUUGCAAUGUUGCCCUUCAAGUAAGAGAAUGGAUUAAAGGACUGAUGGGAAACAAAACCUUCCCAGUCUACACAUUAGACAUCUAUACAAGUGUGAAAUUUAGGUGACAGCUGACUCUUUUGUAAGUGUCCAGUCUCUGCAACAGUGAAGCAGAACCCAGUGGGAUAUUUUCAAAGUACUGACAGCAAAUAGCCAUUGUGUUAGUUAGGGGUCUCUAAAGAACAGACCCAACAACCCAUAAACUGAGGGUCUGUGACAUGACCACAUCACCCCUUAAAGGUCCUGUCUCUUACCACGAAUUUUAAGUGUUUUGGCAAAUAUGAUGGUUUAAAUGAGAAUGACCCCCAUAAGCUCAUAUAUUUGAACACUUGGUCCCCAGUUGGUGGAAUUGCUUGGGAAGGAUUAGGCUUGUGGCCUUAUUGGAGAAGGUGUGUCCCAGUAGGGAUGGGCUUUGAGGUUUCAAAUGCCCAUGUCACUCCCAGUUAGUUCUCUCUGCUUGGUGUUUGAAGAUAAGACAAACGCUCUCCGCUACAGCUCUAGAGCCAUGCCUUCUCCCCUGCUUUUAUGCUUCCUGCAUGGACUCCAACCCUCUGAAACUGUAAGUCCCCAAUAAAUUCUUUCUUCU